RNAcentral lists this ribosomal RNA (425 nucleotides) under Ischnura gemina. Its description in RNAcentral is "partial 16S ribosomal RNA". It matches the Rfam family "Bacterial large subunit ribosomal RNA", at positions 1846 to 2528 of the family's 2925-position model. The record is from RNAcentral. Lineage: Eukaryota; Metazoa; Arthropoda; Insecta; Odonata; Coenagrionidae.
UAAUAGGUCUGGCCUGCCCAGUGAUAAAAUUUAACGGCCGCGGUAUAUUGACCGUGCAAAGGUAGCAUAAUCAUUAGUCUUUUAAUAGAAGGCUGGAAUGAAAGGUUUAACGAGAAAUUAACUGUCUCAAUUACAAACUUGAAUUUAUCUUUUGAGUCAAAAGACUUAAAUAUAAUUGGGGGACGAGAAGACCCUAUAGAGCUUAACAAUUUUUUUUCUAUAUUUAUUUAGUUAAAUUAUUUAUAUAUAUUGGAAAAAUUGUUUUGUUGGGGUGACAAUAAAUAUAUAUUUAACUUUUAUCAUAACAUGAACAUUAAUUUAUGAUUUUUGGAUCCAAAAAUUUUGAUCAAUAGAUUAAGUUACCUUAGGGAUAACAGCGUAAUCUUCCCUCAGAGUUCAUAUUUACGGGAAGGCUUGCGACCUCG